GGAAGAGGUAUGGUCAAGUUUGAACUAUCAUAUGCAAAUUGUUCAUGCAAGCUCACUUUUUGUCUAGAGUGGUAUUUGAUCAUCUUGAUAGCAUUGGUACUUCCAAGAAAUUUUAUUUUAUUCCUUACCAAAAUCUGUGCAAAUUGAAUCUUUAUAAUAUGUGCUGGAGUUGGUAGUUGAAGAUUUAGAAAUUCAUCAAUGAAGGUGUCUAUUUACUAAUUGACUCGCAGUAAAAUUUGGGAGCCAGUCUGCCACCAAGUUCGGGGAAUGUUGAUGCCACACUUUUAUCAAUUUAGGAUUAGAUUUAGUUCUUGGCUGUCCAAAAGUCAUUCAAAC
Molecule: unclassified non-coding RNA, 336 nt
Filed under: Hevea brasiliensis (rubber tree)
Lineage: Eukaryota; Viridiplantae; Streptophyta; Magnoliopsida; Malpighiales; Euphorbiaceae
Source: RNAcentral